UGGAAAAGCGAGGUAGAAUCAUCGGAAUCGCCUAGUCUAUAGUUCAACCACAUGCAUUCUACUAUAUCAUAGGAAUCUACUCAAGUGUUAACAACUAGAUCGACAAAAUAGUGAAUCGCAAUCUCUUGUCAAAAUCCACUCUAUUCGUUGUCGAUACUCCCCCGAUCUCUCGGGCGGAAGCUACCUACAACGAAUGAUCUGAAUGCGCGUCAAUCGUUCGCUACACUCUAUGCCUCAAUCUCUCGACCGGAGACACUCGAGCGCUCAAUACAAUUCAGUUCAGACAUUAAAUCAAUACUCUCGCACGUGACUUAACUCAAAAUCAUUACAACACUAAUGAAGGAUUGUAAAGCAUUAAACAUUGAAUUGCAUCAAAUUAAUCACUAUGAAAAGAGUAGAUUCUUACACAUACAGCAGAUUACACAUGAUCUCCCUACAUUCUAGACUAUCCUAGAUCCUACCUCCGAGGAGUUUAGCUCCUCAUCGUUCUUCGUACGCUUCCUCGCUUCAUCGCCACGGCUUGUGAAUCCAUGAUCUGAUGCGCUUGGAGCUCUCCACUGGAGUGUUGAAUCACGAUCUUCAAGUUCCAAGACCAGAAUGUAGUCCGAUUUCGCAGAAUUUUCCAACCCGAAAACAGAAUUAUGCAGAAAAUAUAUAUACAGAAGGCAACCAC
This 673-nucleotide long non-coding RNA is filed under the name Trifolium pratense (red clover). RNAcentral's name for it is "long non-coding RNA (TPRA_LNC009666)". The record is from RNAcentral. Lineage: Eukaryota; Viridiplantae; Streptophyta; Magnoliopsida; Fabales; Fabaceae.